GGAAGUAAAAGUCGUAACAAGGUUUCCGUAGGUGAACCUGCGGAAGGAUCAUUAAAAAUGAAGCCGGGAAACCGGUCCUUCUCACCCAUGAUUAUCUCAAUUUGUUGCUUUGGUGGGCCGCGCAAGCACCGGCUUCGGCUGGAUCGUGCCCGCCAGAGGACCACAACUCUGUAUUAUAUGUCGUCUGAGUACUAUAAGAUAGUUAAAACUUUCAACAACGGAUCUCUUGGUUCUG
This 235-nucleotide unclassified non-coding RNA is filed under the name plant metagenome. RNAcentral's name for it is "partial contains small subunit ribosomal RNA, internal transcribed spacer 1, and 5.8S ribosomal RNA". The stretch from base 1 to 54 matches the Rfam family "Eukaryotic small subunit ribosomal RNA", at positions 1778 to 1831 of the family's 1831-position model. The record is from RNAcentral.